AGAACGAACGCUGGCGGCAUGCCUAACACAUGCAAGUCGAACGAGACCUUCGGGUCUAGUGGCGCACGGGUGCGUAACGCGUGGGAAUCUGCCCUUAGGUACGGAAUAACUCAGGGAAACUUGUGCUAAUACCGUAUGAUGUCGAGAGACCAAAGAUUUAUCGCCUAGGGAUGAGCCCGCGUAGGAUUAGCUAGUUGGUGGGGUAAAGGCCUACCAAGGCUACGAUCCUUAGCUGGUCUGAGAGGAUGAUCAGCCACACUGGGACUGAGACACGGCCCAGACUCCUACGGGAGGCAGCAGUGGGGAAUAUUGCGCAAUGGGGCGGAAGCCUGACGCAGCGACGCCGCGUGAGGGAUGACGGCCUUCGGGUUGUAAACCUCUUUCAGCUCUGACGAAGCGAGAGUGACGGUAGAAGCAGAAGAAGCACCGGCCAACUACGUGCCAGCAGCCGC
This 452-nucleotide ribosomal RNA is filed under the name uncultured bacterium. Its description in RNAcentral is "SSU rRNA". It matches the Rfam family "Bacterial small subunit ribosomal RNA", at positions 26 to 518 of the family's 1533-position model. The record is from RNAcentral.